RNAcentral lists this ribosomal RNA (405 nucleotides) under Triticum aestivum (bread wheat). RNAcentral's name for it is "partial small subunit ribosomal RNA". The record is from RNAcentral. Lineage: Eukaryota; Viridiplantae; Streptophyta; Magnoliopsida; Poales; Poaceae.
AUGAAGAAGGUUUCAGAUUAUUAUUGCACCCGCACAUUAUUAUACUGGUUAUGGCCUCUGCUAUGGAGCUCUAAAAAUUGUUCUACCUUUGAAGAACUUUCUGCAUGCACAAUUUUGGACGCCAUGACCUUGUGUGGCUUCUCCUACAUAACUAUGGGAUCUGUCUUGGAGUUGUACAUUCUUAUAGCCUUGGAGAGCUUUCUCCUUCUACGAAAAAAGCUAAAAAAAAACAGAAAAAGAAAAAAGAGAAAAAAAAGAAAAAGAGAAAAAAAUAAAAGGAAAAAGGAAAAAAAAGAAAAAAAGGAAAAGAAAGGAAAUGGUUUUAAAAAAGAGAGUAAAGCUUUCCAUCUGUUCAGUGUCCGCACGUGUGGUAGUCUUGUGACUUUAUGUGAGGUGUUUGUGUAG